Long non-coding RNA from Symphalangus syndactylus (siamang), 630 nucleotides. RefSeq lists it as uncharacterized. The record is from RefSeq and is a predicted model, not a curated record. Lineage: Eukaryota; Metazoa; Chordata; Mammalia; Primates; Hylobatidae.
AUGUUGUACCUUCACAGGGGAGGACAAGGUAGAUAAAGUUUGGUAAUUUCAUUAAAGGAAUUUUGACCCUAUAACUGAAUUUCAGAUGAAACUGCUCUAUUCUCAUACAGGCUGAGGAGGAGGAGGAACGGGGACGAUGGUCUUGCUGUUUCAGGAGUGGCAGAGGUAGAACAAAAUCUGAGUAAAAGUGGAUUCACUCAGUCCAAGCCCAUGUUGUCCAAAGUGCUUUCAGUGAGAUCAUGUUAGUGUUUAAAUUCAGCCCUGAAAUACCAACUUCGUAAACUUUCAAAUCUGAAUGGAGAUCAACAUGAAGAGUAUGUACUUCUAUAGUUUGUUUAAAAUAUAUGUUUAUUUGGCCCUUUUAAUGGUAAGAAAAGUAAUGAUAAGACAAAGUAUAUAUCGGAAUAUACACUGAAAAAGAAUUUCUUUUUGUGACUCUCUAUCAUGUUUUAUUCCUGGUCCAUCACGGUGUGACACGAAGUUGUUCUUUCAUAUUAUCAGCACAUUUAAAUAUUUUGCAAUACACCAAGGAAAUAUAGAAAUCACUGCCAUCACUUGUGAAGUAAUUCAUAUUAAGGCAGUGACUGAUCUGAAGCAUUAUACACUCUAGCCAAGUCUCUUUUAACCUCC